UGGUGGGGAGUUUGACUGGGGCGGUCUCCUCCUAAAGAGUAACGGAGGAGCGCAAAGGUUGGCUCAGCACGGAUGGAAACCGUGUUUCAGAGUGUAAGAGCACAAGCCAGCUUUACUGCGAGUCCGACAGGACGAGCAGUCUCGAAAGAGGGCUCUAGUGAUCCUGCGAUCGCGUGUGGAAGCGUCGUAGCUCAUCGGAUAAAAGGUACUCCGGGGAUA
RNAcentral lists this ribosomal RNA (219 nucleotides) under Triparma pacifica. RNAcentral's name for it is "partial Bacterial large subunit ribosomal RNA". It matches the Rfam family "Bacterial large subunit ribosomal RNA", at positions 2259 to 2476 of the family's 2925-position model. Lineage: Eukaryota; Bolidophyceae; Parmales; Triparmaceae. The record is from RNAcentral.